Molecule: ribosomal RNA, 576 nt
Filed under: uncultured eukaryote
Lineage: Eukaryota
Description: bacterial SSU rRNA
Rfam family: Eukaryotic small subunit ribosomal RNA
Source: RNAcentral
UAGAUCAAAACCAAACGGCCCCUCGUGGGCUGUCCCCUGGUGAUUCUGAAUAACUUUGGGCUGAUCGCACGGCUUCACGCUGGCGACGUAUCCUUCUAAGGUGUGCCCUAUCAACUGUCGACUGUGGCAUAGACGCCCACAGUGGUUUUGACGGGUAACGGGGAAUCAGGGUUCGAUUCCGGAGAGGGAGCCUGAGAGACGGCUACCACUUCUAAGGAAGGCAGCAGGCACGCAAAUUACCCACUGGUCGAAGACCGAGGUAGUGACGAAAAAUAACGAUACCGGACUCAUCCGAGGCCCGGUAAUCGGAAUGAGUACACUUUAAAUCCUUUAACGAGGAACCAUUGGAGGGCAAGUCUGGUGCCAGCAGCCGCGGUAAUUCCAGCUCCAAUAGCGUAUAUUAAAGUUGUUGCGGUUAAAAAGCUCGUAGUUGGAUUUCGGCGGGCAGGGGGCGGUUCGAUAUUUGUCGCUACUGCCCCAUUUGCCCGUGUCUGUUUUGGCGGAGGUCGCGGGGUGCUCUUAAUCGGGUGUCCCGGGGCGCCGUCAGGUUUACUUUUGAAAAAAUUAGAGUGCUCA